Long non-coding RNA from Lucilia cuprina (Australian sheep blowfly), 749 nucleotides. RefSeq lists it as uncharacterized. NCBI's taxonomy places the organism in Eukaryota, Metazoa, Arthropoda, Insecta, Diptera, Calliphoridae. The record is from RefSeq and is a predicted model, not a curated record. The transcript is spliced from 3 exons.
AAAGUAAAAAUUGUAAAAAUAUACUCAUGGUGUAGGGUAUCAUAUGGUCGGCCAUGCCCGACUAUACUUUCCUACUUGUCACAAAUAGAAAAAUGUAAAUCUGCAGCAAGUAUUUUUAAAAUUUGGCCAGAAUACACUAAUGCCAAUGGGAUUCGUAUGUUUGACAUUGACUUCACUAUUAAGUAUCCAAACUGUGAAAAUAUUCACGAAAACUGGGCUUUAAAAUCUAAUAAAAUUGAGACUUUAUUGAAGAAGAAGAUUUCAAGGAAAAAGCUUAAAUGGAUUCAAUUUAAAUUCUUUAAAUGAAGAUACUAGAGAGAAUACCCGGGAUAUUAUAUUGCUAAUGAAUCUUCAUCAGUUGCUGUUAUCACCAAAUAAAUGUGGAGGAAAACAAUCCAGAAAAUUUAGUGUUGAAGAUUCCUUGGGAGCAUUUGCUAUUUUUGGAAAAACUAACGAAGAAGUUGAAGAUAAACUCCGCCAUAUAAGUGAGUCAAAACAGUUCCUACAACCACGUAUCUUAAUUAUAGGUGAUAUAAAUAUGAUUAAGAGUAUUUUCGUUUAUGUUGACGGUUUUCGUUUUAAAACGAUGUACAUAAUACAUGCAGUUGAUAUAUGCUUUAAAAUAUUUUUCGUUUUUAAUUUAAAAUAUCCGGAAGAAGCCAAUCUUUUCUGGAUUUUUAUUGAACACUUUUUUUAUAAAUUAAAACAUUCUAAAGCUAACAUUAAAGUUUCAACAUUGUGUAAUGAAU